This 466-nucleotide ribosomal RNA is filed under the name Vreelandella stevensii. Its description in RNAcentral is "partial 16S ribosomal RNA". It matches the Rfam family "Bacterial small subunit ribosomal RNA", at positions 338 to 796 of the family's 1533-position model. The record is from RNAcentral. Lineage: Bacteria; Pseudomonadati; Pseudomonadota; Gammaproteobacteria; Oceanospirillales; Halomonadaceae.
CCUACGGGAGGCAGCAGUGGGGAAUAUUGGACAAUGGGGGCAACCCUGAUCCAGCCAUGCCGCGUGUGUGAAGAAGGCCCUCGGGUUGUAAAGCACUUUCAGUGAGGAAGAACGCCUGGUGGUUAAUACCCAUCAGGAAAGACAUCACUCACAGAAGAAGCACCGGCUAACUCCGUGCCAGCAGCCGCGGUAAUACGGAGGGUGCGAGCGUUAAUCGGAAUUACUGGGCGUAAAGCGCGCGUAGGUGGCUUGAUAAGCCGGUUGUGAAAGCCCCGGGCUCAACCUGGGAACGGCAUCCGGAACUGUCAAGCUAGAGUGCAGGAGAGGAAGGUAGAAUUCCCGGUGUAGCGGUGAAAUGCGUAGAGAUCGGGAGGAAUACCAGUGGCGAAGGCGGCCUUCUGGACUGACACUGACACUGAGGUGCGAAAGCGUGGGUAGCAAACAGGAUUAGAUACCCCUGUAGUCC